Molecule: ribosomal RNA, 324 nt
Filed under: uncultured bacterium
Lineage: Bacteria
Description: bacterial SSU rRNA
Rfam family: Bacterial small subunit ribosomal RNA
Source: RNAcentral
GACGAACGCUGGCGGCGUGCCUAACACAUGCAAGUCGAACGAAGCAAUAAAGACGGAGAUUCGUCAAAGCCUUUAUUGACUUAGUGGCGGACGGGUGAGUAACGCGUGAGCAACCUGCCUUUCAGAGGGGGACAACAGUUGGAAACGACUGCUAAUACCGCAUAAUGUACAGAGGGGGCAUCCCUUUUGUAUCAAAGGAGAAAUCCGCUGAAAGAUGGGCUCACGUCUGAUUAGCUAGUUGGUGGGGUAAAGGCCUACCAAGGCUGCGAUCAGUAGCCGGACUGAGAGGUUGAACGGCCACAUUGGGACUGAGAUACGGCCCAG